RNAcentral lists this ribosomal RNA (54 nucleotides) under Emiliania huxleyi. RNAcentral describes it as "partial Bacterial small subunit ribosomal RNA". Lineage: Eukaryota; Haptophyta; Isochrysidales; Noelaerhabdaceae. The record is from RNAcentral.
GGUACCCUAGGAAUAAGCAUCGGCUAACUCCGUGCCAGCAGCCGCGGUAAUACG